UUCCUUUUGAUUAAAAAAAAGGUAGGCCCUGCCCAGUGUUUUGAGGAAUAAACGGCGGCCUUAGCGUGAGGGUCCUAAGGUAGCAUGAUAAGUUGGCCUUUAAUUUGGGUCUUGACGAAUGGGUUAACGGGGGAAAACUGUCACGUGAAUUACCAUUGAAAUUAACUUAAAGGUGAGAAGGCCUUUAUGGGUGAGAGGGACGACAAGACCCUAGAAGCUUUAUUAAUCUUGCUAUACAGUGUAUAACAUGAUAAAUUUGUUGGGGCAACAGUUAAGGGAUGGGUCUUUUCGUGGUAAUUGGUUGUUGUGUUUCUAUACUCUAUUUAUUUUUAUGUGUAGUUUAUGAGAUGGUUAUUUCCUUUGUCUGACUUGAUAAUUCAUCCACCUUGGUGUUAUAUGAAAAAUUACGUUCUGGUGAUUUUUGUGUUUGAUUUAGGUGAAAACGGUUGAGUUACUCUAGGGAUAACAGCGCAAUAUCUUUUUGGAGUUCUUAUCUAUUAAGAUGCUUGCGACCUCGAUGUUGGCUUAGGAUAUCCUUAUAAUUUUAUUGGCGUAGCCGCUUAAAGGGUUGGUGUGUUCACCCAUUAAAAUCCU
Molecule: ribosomal RNA, 594 nt
Filed under: Jolya elongata
Lineage: Eukaryota; Metazoa; Mollusca; Bivalvia; Mytilida; Modiolidae
Description: Modiolus elongatus partial 16S ribosomal RNA
Rfam family: Bacterial large subunit ribosomal RNA
Source: RNAcentral